GCGAAUUAAUUCCGACUUUCACGUAUUAAAUCUCAAGAUUGAGGAUUUAAUUUAUAUAAAUACGACGAGUAUUUAUUAAACAAGAAUUGGAGAAUUAUUACAGGAACUAGGAGAAACUAGAUCACGGCACUACACGUAUUUCUCGAUUUUUCAUCCAACACAACAAUUCCUACAUGUUAGUCAAAAAGCAGCUCCCACAAUUGUCAAAAAGUUGCGGCAAGCCAUUCAACAAUGGCAACAUUUCUUUUCACACUGCAGCCACCUACCACCUCAAUUCCCUAUAAAUAAUCCUCGAAGCAGCAUUUGUAAAUACACCCAAAACCAAAGAAAAAAAAAAGAUUCAUCUGCAAUCUAGAGAAAGAGAGGAGCAGGUGAAGGGUUGGGAGAAAAGGUGAAUAGUGAAGUACUGUUCAAGUGAAUAGUGACAGUCGUCGCGAAUAGUGAAAUUCGUGAAUAGUGAAAAUUAGAUAGUAAUUUUCACGGGGAAUAACGGGUUGUGAGUUGAGUGUUGUGAGUGUUGUAAACACUGUAUAUUUUUCUCCCUUGUUAAAUAGUUCUGCAGAAGGAAGAAGUGCAGCAAGAGGUGUGAGGCAAGAGAGAGUUUAGGAGAAUUUUUUUAAAAUUUCUUACUUGCAAGAGCUCAAGUGAGUUCCCUUCGCCAGGCUAUUUCUUCGCCGACCGGCCACUAGGCUCUGAACCGAGAACGUGUACUCGUUCCUCCAUCUUCAGGCUACCAAACCCAACAAUCGAAAGGCCGAAGCCUUCUCUAUAUUUUCCUGACCAAAGGCCGCAAUAUCCUUCGGAGGCCAACGUCGAAUUCCCGACUUAGCCACCGGCCAACUUACGGCUUUCGUUUCUCACUAUCCUUACGACGAAAAAGGAUUGAGAAAACACCGUUGUGUAGCCUGAUCUACCUCGCACGAGGAAGACUAAGUCGUAGACCUUCGCGGCUAAACACCAUCGCGGAACGACGACCAGAAAACCCCCGACGAACAACUUCCAUUAGUGCUCACUUGGACAAGGGUUCAAAUAAACAAAAGCGUCUGAGUAACCUAUCGCGCUAAGGAAAGAGAAUCAUUGUCUUAAGUAGCAAAACACUGCAAUCAGGUGGGCAUUACUUUUACUAUACGUAUAUAGAGAUCCCCUACGUAUCGUAGGCCUCUUAUACGAAUGAAUGCAUGAGAUGAUCUAACUGUUAAUUUCAGUUUCAUAUAUAUCAAAUGAGUUUAAAUGUUACAUUCAAGCAAGUUAUUUCAUGACAAAAUCUUUGAGUUAAAGUUAUUUCAAGUAUUGUCUUGCCAUAAAAUGUUUCAAUUUUAGUAUGAUAUCUAUCUGCUUUGGCUUUGCCAAUGAUGCAAUCGAAUUCGGGUCCUGAGCAGUUGAUAGCUAUCCUGCCAGGACUAGUGUACACCAGUGACCGUGAGUCAUCUAGCGGGUUGGCCGGUCAAGUGACCGUGAGAGGUGGCCACCUCUCCGGCACACAGUUCCAGAUAUGAUAGAUUACAAGAGAACUUAGACUGCAGUCGAACUUUAAGAAUCACAAAUGAAUUUAGUAAGCUUGGGCCUUUUUAGCGAAAAAACUCCCUUGCUGUACUGUUUAUGAUGGCAUGACAAUUUACAGUUUUGAAGCAUGUAUUUUUAUACCUAGGCAUACGUGCCCACUGAGUGCUUUUGUACUCAGCCCUGCAUAUGUUUUCUAAAUGUGCAGGUUGAGCUGAUGUGAUGAUGGUGCUGCAAUGAGCGGAGUCUCCAGGGUUGUUAAUAAAUAGUUAACCUGUCUAGAAUAUGUCUUCAUACAUAUGUCUAGCUACUUUCCGCUGCAAGAUGUUGUUGAUGUUAUAGUAUGUUAUGUCAUACUUUGAGUCUUAAGAGAAUGGUUUCAUAUGAUGUAUAACUUGAUUAAUGAUAUUAAUUAAGUUUUAUGCUGUCUUUCAUAGACUAUUUUCAA
Long non-coding RNA from Salvia miltiorrhiza (redroot sage), 1948 nucleotides. RefSeq lists it as uncharacterized. The transcript has 2 exons. Lineage: Eukaryota; Viridiplantae; Streptophyta; Magnoliopsida; Lamiales; Lamiaceae. The record is from RefSeq and is a predicted model, not a curated record.